AGCCAUGCAGCACCUGUCUCACGGUUCCCGAAGGCACAUUCUCAUCUCUGAAAACUUCCGUGGAUGUCAAGACCAGGUAAGGUUCUUCGCGUUGCAUCGAAU
Molecule: ribosomal RNA, 102 nt
Filed under: Shigella flexneri 2747-71
Lineage: Bacteria; Pseudomonadati; Pseudomonadota; Gammaproteobacteria; Enterobacterales; Enterobacteriaceae
Source: RNAcentral